Molecule: transfer RNA, 75 nt
Filed under: Holosporales bacterium
Lineage: Bacteria; Pseudomonadati; Pseudomonadota; Alphaproteobacteria; Holosporales
Description: tRNA-Thr
Rfam family: tRNA
About the family: Transfer RNA (tRNA) molecules are approximately 80 nucleotides in length. Their secondary structure includes four short double-helical elements and three loops (D, anti-codon, and T loops).
Source: RNAcentral
GCCGCAGUAGCUUAGAGGCAGAGCACUCCCUUGGUAAGGGAGAGAUCGAGGGUUCGAUUCCCUCCUGCGGCACCA